GUAGCAACAAACAACUAGUGAUCGCAUACAAAUGUGUGUACAUGUAUCAGUAAUCGAUCGAUAAUACGUUAUUGUUCAACCUUGGCAUUCACUCAACACCUUGGACGAAUGCAUUAUCUAGGAAAGUAAAUAAAAUUUGAAGAAAGUGACAUAAAGUGAGUGCUCAUGUUUACAAACGUUUACUACAUUCCAUUGUCUUUUUCUCAAUUCUAUCUGCUUACGUAGCAUAACAGAACGAGUAUAAAGUUUGCAUAUGUACAUAUACUCGAACACACAACUCAAUAUAUUGAUCUAUGUGCAUACAUAUGUACUUAUCACAGAGUUUGUUGUUUUGCCUACUUAUUAAAGGUUACACGAUAAUCAUAGCGAAAAUCGAAUGCAAAUGGUCAUAUUUACAAAAACAACUUAUUAUGAGGGAGUAAAAGGGUAUUUGUUCUGCAUGAUGUUGGGAUCGAGUGGUGGUCGUGAUGCGAAUUUACGCUGACUCAUCAUGGAUUGAUUUGCUCGUAUGGCAAAUAAUUUUAAAAUUUCAGAAAGGGACAAAUUACGCAGUUUUGAAUGAAAAGAUUGCAUCACAGAAAGAAAAGGAACAAUCAACUAGGACACAUUCUAGGAAAGAGAAAGCUAUUUGUCACAAAAUUUGCGUCACUCUAAUCGUGCUAUAUUUAGGAGGGGAUUGAUUUCAUGAUGAGGUAGCACUUGACACGCUAAUUAAAUCUGCCUCUAAUCAUGAUCCUACUGCUGUGUUAAUACGAUUCAAACCAAUUCAGAAAUGCAAAGAAUGAGGUGUUGGGACCCGAUGCACUAUUAUUUACUUCCGUUAUACAUAAAAUAGUUUUUCCUAUUUUUUGCAACUUCCCCAAGGGAAGUAGCUGCUUCUUGUCACCCGUUGGGAAUUGCAGGCGACGUUACAAGAAGUUGCAAGCUUAUAUAAAAGCAAAGUUGCUGAAGGAAUUUUUAGUAAUCAGUUGUUGGACACUGUCAAAAUAGUCCAAGUGUUUUGAUUCCGGAAAUCGGGAAUACUCUCAAGAGCAAUAUGAAGCUAUUGAUCGUAGCUGUGGUAUUUCUCUCGUCCUGCCACCUUCACAGUGAGGCGUCCAAGGGAAAAGGAAGCAAAGUCAUCAUUGUGAACACGUCGUACAAUGGGGGCAAAGGAGGGCAGGGCGGAUGGGGAGGUCAAGGUAUGAGCCUGAGAAAAUUAGUGUACAACAUGUGCCUCGGACAUUUACUUCAGGCUAAUAGGGCAUGCAAUGCCCUGGACAUGGGAAUAAGUGAUAUUCAGGAUAUGAUUUAAUUACGUAUUUGUUCUUACAGGGGGAU
Molecule: long non-coding RNA, 1320 nt
Organism: Folsomia candida
Lineage: Eukaryota; Metazoa; Arthropoda; Collembola; Entomobryomorpha; Isotomidae
Exons: 3
Source: RefSeq, a predicted model, not a curated record